This 460-nucleotide ribosomal RNA is filed under the name uncultured bacterium. Its description in RNAcentral is "partial 16S ribosomal RNA". It matches the Rfam family "Bacterial small subunit ribosomal RNA", at positions 338 to 795 of the family's 1533-position model. The record is from RNAcentral.
CCUACGGGUGGCAGCAGUGAGGAAUAUUGGUCAAUGGGCGCAAGCCUGAACCAGCCAAGUCGCGUGAGGGAUGACGGUCCUAUGGAUUGUAAACCUCUUUUGUCGGGGAGCAAGGCCCGCCACGUGUGGCGGGAAGGAGAGUACCCGAAGAAAAAGCAUCGGCUAACUCCGUGCCAGCAGCCGCGGUAAUACGGAGGAUGCGAGGGUUAUCGGGAUUCAUUGGGUUUAAGGGGUGCGUAGGCGGAAGGUUAAGUCAGCGGUAAAAUUUCGGUGCUCAACACCGGCCUGCCGUUGAAACUGGUUGUCUUGAGUGAGCGAGAAGUAUGCGGAAUGCGUGGUGUAGCGGUGAAAUGCAUAGAUAUCACGCAGAACGCCGAUUGCGAAGGCAGCAUACCGGCGCUCAACUGACGCUGAGGCACGAAAGCGUGGGGAUCGAACAGGAUUAGAUACCCGAGUAGUC